RNAcentral lists this ribosomal RNA (849 nucleotides) under Endoconidioma euphorbiae. RNAcentral's name for it is "partial large subunit ribosomal RNA". It matches the Rfam family "Eukaryotic large subunit ribosomal RNA", at positions 33 to 898 of the family's 3401-position model. Lineage: Eukaryota; Fungi; Ascomycota; Dothideomycetes; Dothideales; Dothideaceae. The record is from RNAcentral.
CUUAAGCAUAUCAAUAAGCGGAGGAAAAGAAACCAACAGGGAUUGCCCUAGUAACGGCGAGUGAAGCGGCAAUAGCUCAAAUUUGAAAGCUGGCCUUCUGGUCCGCAUUGUAAUUUGUAGAGGAUGCUUUUAGGCAGCCGCCGGUCUAAGUUCCUUGGAACAGGACGUCAUAGAGGGUGAGAAUCCCGUAUGUGACCGGCUCUGGCACCUUCUGUAAAGCUCCUUCGACGAGUCGAGUUGUUUGGGAAUGCAGCUCUAAAUGGGAGGUAAAUUUCUUCUAAAGCUAAAUACCGGCGAGAGACCGAUAGCGCACAAGUAGAGUGAUCGAAAGAUGAAAAGCACUUUGGAAAGAGAGUUAAAAAGCACGUGAAAUUGUUGAAAGGGAAGCGCUUGCAAUCAGACUUGGCUUCGGUUGUUCAACAGGUCUUCUGACCUGCCUAUUCAAUCGGAGCCAGGCCAGCAUCAGUUUCGGCGGCCGGAUAAAGGCCCUGGGAAUGUGACUGUUCCUUCGGGGACAGUGUUAUAGCCCAGGGUGUAAUACGGCCAGCUGGGACUGAGGUCCGCGCUUCGGCUAGGAUGCUGGCGUAAUGGUUGUAAGCGGCCCGUCUUGAAACACGGACCAAGGAGUCUAACAUCUAUGCGAGUGUUAGGGUGUCAAACCCUUACGCGUAAUGAAAGUGAACGGAGGUGAGAACCCGCAAGGGCGCAUCAUCGACCGAUCCUGAUGUCUUCGGAUGGAUUUGAGUAUGAGCAUAGCUGUUGGGACCCGAAAGAUGGUGAACUAUGCCUGAAUAGGGUGAAGCCAGAGGAAACUCUGGUGGAGGCUCGCAGCGGUUCUGACGUGCAAAU